GACGAACGCUGGCGGCGUGCCUAAUACAUGCAAGUAGAACGCUGAAGAGAGGAGCUUGCUCUUCUUGGAUGAGUUGCGAACGGGUGAGUAACGCGUAGGUAACCUGCCUUGUAGCGGGGGAUAACUAUUGGAAACGAUAGCUAAUACCGCAUAACAAUGGAUGACCCAUGUCAUUUAUUUGAAAGGGGCAAAUGCUCCACUACAAGAUGGACCUGCGUUGUAUUAGCUAGUAGGUGAGGUAACGGCUCACCUAGGCGACGAUACAUAGCCGACCUGAGGGGGUGAUCGGCCACACUGGGACUGUGACACGGCCCAGACUCCUACGGGAGGCAGCAGUAGGGAAUCUUCGGCAAUGGGGGCAACCCUGACCGAGCAACGCCGCGUGAGUGAAGAAGGUUUUCGGAUCGUAAAGCUCUGUUGUAAGUCAAGAACGAGUGUGAGAGUGGAAAGUUCACACUGUGACGGUAGCUUACCAGAAAGGGACGGCUAACUACGUG
Molecule: ribosomal RNA, 497 nt
Filed under: uncultured bacterium
Lineage: Bacteria
Description: partial 16S ribosomal RNA
Rfam family: Bacterial small subunit ribosomal RNA
Source: RNAcentral